RNAcentral lists this ribosomal RNA (215 nucleotides) under uncultured Oscillospiraceae bacterium. RNAcentral describes it as "partial 16S ribosomal RNA". It matches the Rfam family "Bacterial small subunit ribosomal RNA", at positions 1168 to 1382 of the family's 1533-position model. Lineage: Bacteria; Bacillati; Bacillota; Clostridia; Eubacteriales; Oscillospiraceae. The record is from RNAcentral.
GGAGAGGCGGGACGACGUCAAAUCAUCAUGCCCCUUAUGUUCUGGGCUACACACGUAAUACAAUGGCGGUCAACAGAGGGAAGCGAAGGAGCGAUCUGGAGCAAAUCCCCAAAAGCCGUCUCAGUUCGGAUUGCAGGCUGAAACUCGCCUGCAUGAAGUCGGAAUUGCUAGUAAUCGCGGAUCAGCACGCCGCGGUGAAUACGUUCCCGGGCCUU